CUUUCAGAUGAAGUGAUUGAAUGUACUGUACCUAAGACUUGUGUCCAACUUUCCCAAGAAAUCUAAAUGAUCAUAUCUUACAAAACAGGCAUCAAGUUGCAAAGCUGCACCAUAUGUGUAUGGACACAACAAACCAAUCUGGCUCACCACAUUGACUAUGCAUUUAGCGCAGUCUUCUGUCUUCAAAUCACCUCUGCAUUGAUACAAGCCGUUAAUUGACCCAUCCGAGGAGGCGGUUGAGCUGUCGUUUCCGAGAGAAAAGCUGUUGUAAAGUGCCUGUGGAGCCGAAUUAGAAAUGGAGGAUAAUAAAGAGUUGAGAUUUGUUACAUAGGGAGAAUUGAGCGUGUAUUUAUCUUGUGAACAGCUUGCGUAUAUGAAGAUGUGGGCUUUGACAAUGAAGAAAUGAUUAUUGAGAAAGAAGAAGAGAAAGAAGAUCUCAAUGGACUUUUGUUGAAGGUUUCUCAGCAUUUUCUUUCUUUACUUCGUAAACUUUUUAUGUUUUUAACUGAUUUUUAGCUAUCGUGCGAAUUUCCCAAUAGGUUUUUCUUUCGAAUACUAUUGGUGUUGAAGAAUUUUUAGAGUGGGAUUGCUUUUUGGUGUUUCUUUUUGUGUAUUUUAGGCACUUUUUCUUUUUUGAUGAUCCAAUGGGAUCGGAUUGGUGGAAUACAU
RNAcentral lists this long non-coding RNA (669 nucleotides) under Olea europaea subsp. europaea. Lineage: Eukaryota; Viridiplantae; Streptophyta; Magnoliopsida; Lamiales; Oleaceae. The record is from RNAcentral.